AUUCAGCUGAUGAGUCUCAAAGAAAACGAAACGCGCGUCCUCGAU
Non-coding RNA from Schistosoma margrebowiei, 45 nucleotides. The record is from Rfam. Lineage: Eukaryota; Metazoa; Platyhelminthes; Trematoda; Strigeidida; Schistosomatidae.